UACGUAGGGGGCAAGCGUUGUCCGGAAUCAUUGGGCGUAAAGGGUGCGUAGGCGGCGCGGUAAGUCGGGUGUGAAAUCUCGGAGCUUAACUCCGAAACUGCAUUCGAUACUGCCGUGCUUGAGGACUGGAGAGGAGACUGGAAUUUACGGUGUAGCGGUGAAAUGCGUAGAUAUCGUAAGGAAGACCAGUGGCGAAGGCGGGUCUCUGGACAGUUCCUGACACUGAGACACGAAGGCCAGGGGAGCAAACGGG
This 253-nucleotide ribosomal RNA is filed under the name uncultured bacterium. RNAcentral's name for it is "partial 16S ribosomal RNA". It matches the Rfam family "Bacterial small subunit ribosomal RNA", at positions 524 to 776 of the family's 1533-position model. The record is from RNAcentral.